AGUGAACGCUGGCGGUAGGCCUAACACAUGCAAGUCGAACGGCAGCACAGUAAGAGCUUGCUCUUACGGGUGGCGAGUGGCGGACGGGUGAGGAAUACAUCGGAAUCUACUUUUUCGUGGGGGAUAACGUAGGGAAACUUACGCUAAUACCGCAUACGACCUACGGGUGAAAGCAGGGGAUCUUCGGACCUUGCGCGAUUGAAUGAGCCGAUGUCGGAUUAGCUAGUUGGCGGGGUAAAGGCCCACCAAGGCGACGAUCCGUAGCUGGUCUGAGAGGAUGAUAAGCCACACUGGAACUUAGACACGGUCCAGACUCCUACGGGAGGCAGCAGUGGGGAAUAUUAGACAAUAGGCGCAAGCCUGAUCCAGCCAUACCGCGUGGGUGAAGAAGGCCUUCGGGUUGUAAAGCCCUUUUGUUGGGAAAGAAAAGCAGCAGGUUAAUACCCCGCUGUUCUGACGGUACCCAAAGAAUAAGCACCGGCUAACUUCGUG
RNAcentral lists this ribosomal RNA (492 nucleotides) under uncultured bacterium. Its description in RNAcentral is "partial 16S ribosomal RNA". It matches the Rfam family "Bacterial small subunit ribosomal RNA", at positions 29 to 507 of the family's 1533-position model. The record is from RNAcentral.